CAGCAGCCGCGGUAAUCCAGCACCUCAAGUGGUCAGGAUGAUUAUUGGGCCUAAAGCAUCCGUAGCCGGCUUUGUUAGUUUUCGGUUAAAUCCAUGUGCUCAACGCAUGGGCUGCCGAAAAUACUGCAUAGCUAGGGAGUGGGAGAGGUAGACGGUACUCAGUAGGAAGGGGUAAAAUCCUUUGAUCUAUUGAUGACCACCUGUGGCGAAGGCGGUCUACCAGAACACGUUCGACGGUGAGGGAUGAAAGCUGGGGGAGCAAACCGGAUUAGAUACCCGGGUAGUCCCAGCUGUAAACGAUGCAGACUCGAUGAUGCAUUGGCAUAUAGCCAGUGCAGUGUCGCAGGGAAGCCGUUAAGUCUGCCGCCUGGGAAGUACGUACGCAAGUAUGAAACUUAAAGGAAUUGGCGGGGGAGCACCACAAGGGGUGAAGCCUGCGGUUCAAUUGGAGUCAACGCCAGAAAUCUUACCCGGAGAGACAGCAGAAUGAAGGUCAAGCUGAAGACUUUACCAGACAAGCUGAGAGGUGGUGCAUGGCCGUCGCCAGCUCGUGCCGUGAGAUGUCCUGUUAAGUCAGGUAACGAGCGAGAUCCUCGCCACUAGUUGCUAUCAUUAUUCUCAGGAAUAGUGGGGCGAAUUAGUGGGACUGCCGUUGUUAAAACGGAGGAAGGAGGGGGCCACGGCAGGUCAGUAUGCCCCGAAACUCUGGGGCCACACGCGGGCUGCAAUGGUAGCGACAAUGAGCUCCAAACUCGAAAGAGAGUGGCAAUCUCUAAACGCUACCACAGUUAUGACUGAGGGCUGUAACUCGCCCUCACGAAUAUGGAAUCCCUAGUAACCGCGUGUCAUUACCGCGCGGUGAAUACGUCCCUGCUCCUUGCACACACCGCCCG
RNAcentral lists this ribosomal RNA (893 nucleotides) under uncultured archaeon. RNAcentral describes it as "bacterial SSU rRNA". It matches the Rfam family "Archaeal small subunit ribosomal RNA", at positions 459 to 1352 of the family's 1478-position model. The record is from RNAcentral.